RNAcentral lists this ribosomal RNA (606 nucleotides) under Cyphomyrmex minutus symbiont 950106-03. RNAcentral describes it as "eukaryotic LSU rRNA". It matches the Rfam family "Eukaryotic large subunit ribosomal RNA", at positions 52 to 642 of the family's 3401-position model. The record is from RNAcentral. Lineage: Eukaryota; Fungi; Basidiomycota; Agaricomycetes; Agaricales; Agaricaceae.
GGAGGAAAAGAACUAACAAGGAUUCCCCUAGUAACUGCGAGUGAAGCGGGAAGAGCUCAAAUUUAAAAUCUGGCGGUCUUUGGCUGUCCGAGUUGUAAUCUAGAGAAGUGUUACCCGCGCUGGACCGUGUACAAGUCUCCUGGGAUGGAGCGUCAUAGAGGGUGAGAAUCCCGUCUCUGACACGGAUUACCAGGGCUUUGUGGUAUGCUCUCAAAGAGUCGAGUUGUUUGGGAAUGCAGCUCAAAAUGGGUGGUAAAUUCCAUCUAAAGCUAAAUAUUGGCGAGAGACCGAUAGCGAACAAGUACCGUGAGGGAAAGAUGAAAAGAACUUUGGAAAGAGAGUUAAACAGUACGUGAAAUUGCUGAAAGGGAAACGCUUGAAGUCAGUCGCGUUAGCUGGGGAUCAGCCUUGCUUUUGCUGGGUGUAUUUCCUGGUUGAUGGGUCAGCAUCAAUUUUGACCGCUGGAAAAAGGCUUGAGGAAUGUGGCACCUCCGUGGUGUGUUAUAGCUUCUUGUCACAUACAGUGGUUGGGAUUGAGGAACUCAGCACGCCGCAAGGCCGGGUUUYGACCACGUUCGUGCUUAGGAUGCUGACAAAAUGGCUUUA